This 1879-nucleotide long non-coding RNA is filed under the name Solanum tuberosum (potato). Its description in RNAcentral is "long non-coding RNA (STUB_LNC006644)". The record is from RNAcentral. Lineage: Eukaryota; Viridiplantae; Streptophyta; Magnoliopsida; Solanales; Solanaceae.
UGCUGCUGGCCAUUCUUUCCUGUUUGGGCCCAAAAGAAGCCUGUCCUAAUUGACUAAAGAACUGCAUUGUUUGAGCCUCUUCUCAAUCUAUUUUUCAGCUUUGAGAAAUUGUAUACACCGAGUGUAUAUUAGUGUAUACUGAACGUAUUUUGGGCCUGAAUUCCUGUAUAUCCCUCUUUAGACCUGCACCCCUGUAUUUCACAUUUUUUGCCUAUAUAUCAAUAUUCAAUUAUUGUAUACAAGUGUAUACUGUUGUAUACAAUAGGUAUACAACCCCCUUUUGGGCUUUUGGAGGCUUGCACUUCAAUUUCUAGCAUGUAAGUUGCCUCCAUUUCACUCGAUCAAGAUGAAGCUGAUUCGAAGAAUCUCAACUCAGAAAAAUGAGAAAAAAGUGAGUCCAAAAGGACUUAGGUUGAUGCACAUACAAAGAAAAUGGAAGCAACAUUAGCCAAGUCGCAUGAAAUUAUUCUAACACAUAUACAAGAAAGCAUUUUAUUAAAUAUUUUCAAACAUAUCUGAACAAGAGUUUCUUAACACAGGGACAUGCAAAGGACACAUAUUUCAUUACCUCAAACAAUUGUGCUAUGAUAGAUUAAAAUUAUGAAGUAGCAACAUUCACGAGACUAAUCAGCAAAGCAUAAUUGGAAUCACAGCAAGAGGAAAUAAAAAAAAAUAAAAAAAGAAGCAAAUGGAUCAAAUUGUUGCCAAUAUUUACACGCCAACACUUAAGGAAAAGACCACUACAUAAAACAUAUGUUUAAAGGAGAGAAAUCACAAUAAACACAAAGCUAAUUAGAAUCAAGCCAUUCUGCAACUUUAAACAAAUAGAGACUAAUUGCUAUGUCAAUUAUUGAAAGCCAACAUUCUGUAACCUAAAGCAAAAAUGAGAUAUUAAAGCAUUAUUUAAUAUGAUAAGGGAACAAAAGAAAACACUAAUUUAAAUCAAUAUUUGUAUCCUAUUAAGCAGUGAAUGUCUCAUACUAAAAAUAAUAAUAAACAAAGAAAAGAGAAGUAACAAAACUUAAAUUAGCCAAAUUAUUAAUCCAUUUCAUACUUAGAACUUCACUAAUCUGGACAAAACUUCAAAAUUUUAAUAAAAUCAACACAAGCUUGGGUACAUAAUGGCAACUAUAUAGUCAGGAACAUGAUAAAGACUUUUGAGACAUGAUGAAACAGUGAUCCUAGAGAUCGAAUUCGAUACUUUAGAUGCGCAAAGGAGAAACUAAACCACAAUGAAAUCCAUAAUGGAUUAAAUGUAGAGUUGGGCCACUAAACAAUAAGAAAUGAAAUCAACAGAGAAAAUUACAACAGAAACAGUUCAGAACUGAACUCAAAUCUACGAACUAAACAACAUCUUGGCUAAGAUAGAUUAAGAUGCUAAAUGGAGUUUACCUUUUUAGGAGCAGCGACUGGGAAACGAGCUAAUCACGAAGAUCAUUCCACCACCGAAAUGCAACUCCAUGAAACAGCAAGAGUGUCGAGCUCGAAAUAGAAACCGACUUGAGUAUCUUCUACCUCACUUAUCAAUUUUUUGGAUCUAUUUUAGCCUCGAAAACCCUUUGUAUUUUCUCACGCCGUGUAUAAUUUAUGAGUAUCAACCCUAUUUUUCUCUAACCCCCCCCCCCCAAAAUAAUGAAAAAAUGAGACUAUUUAUAGAUGAAAUAAGGGCUGAAAAGGGGGAAUUCGGGAGGGAGAAAAGGGAUGAAAUUUAAAUUCAAAAUUCAAAUCCCUUCAGCUCGAAAUAGUACCAAUUCCAACGGAUUUAAAAGGAGAACCGUCCAAUUCGAGGAGCAACGACGGAUGAAGCACAAGAUGGAUACAUCUGGAUUAUUCUCCAACAAUCUCGGUACGAAUAGAUAAGGAGAGAGGAGAGGGACGC